Long non-coding RNA from Engraulis encrasicolus (European anchovy), 1617 nucleotides. RefSeq lists it as uncharacterized. The record is from RefSeq and is a predicted model, not a curated record. The transcript has 3 exons. NCBI's taxonomy places the organism in Eukaryota, Metazoa, Chordata, Actinopteri, Clupeiformes, Engraulidae.
AAUCUAAAGCAAAUGUGUUCAUCAUGGUUUCAUCAGAGACAAACAGACUUCAGAUAUGGAUUGCUGGAACCAUGUCCUCUGGUCUGAUGACACCAACAUGAACACAUUUUUUCGGAUGGUGUCAAGCAUGUGUGAUCUUAACCAAGUGAGUAGUACAAAGUAAACUGUCCCAUGCUCAUGGUCAAGUAGUGGUAGUGAGACAGACAUGGUUUUAGGCUGGAUGCAUGGCGUCAAUAUUGGAAAUCUGAAUUUCACCAACAUGUACCAUGACAAUUGAAGCAGAUCAUGAUACAGUCUGUGAUUUUAAAGGUGCAGAGUGAUUUUUUAAGUAGUUUAUUUCCAGAACUCAUGCUGCACAGGUUACAAAUGUUCUCCUUUUUUAUUCUUUCUUUCUUUCUUUCUUUCUUUCUUUCUUUCUUUCUUUCUUUCUUCCUUUCAUUAAGUUGUACAAGAUGCACCAUUUCUGAGGACUUCUGGCACAGUGGCCUGCACUGUUUAAAGUUCGCAAGAUCAGUGCUGAAUUGAAAAUAAUCACCACAGUCCGACUGCAAUGGCCUGCCCUGUUCCAAGUCCACAAGGUCAUGGAUGAAGUUGCCGUAGACGAAGCAAUUGAAGACAUCACUAUUGGAAUCUGCUCUGACAGAAGAUUGGGCAUCCCACCCUUAGGACAUUGUCAGUUUUAGUGUAUGUCUGUCACACACGUGACACCCAAUCGGAAAGGACUCUUUUUUUUCAGCAACUAAAAAACAGCAGUUAUUUUUGUUUCUUUAAGUGAAAUGUACCUUUUUUUCUAGAGAUCUAUUUGCUUGUAUGCACUUCCAGCUCCUUGCUGGUUUAAGAAUAGCACUUGAGUGUGCAUAUGUUUUGUACAUACUGUGUUGAUUUUGACCCAAACUAAAGACAAACAAAAUACCAAGACUAGACUUAAAUAAGACUGGGUAAUAACACAAAUGUGGUCACCAAAGAGGACAACCAAAUGAAUGGUGGACUGCCAGAUGCACGUGCACAUGCAUACAGUAUACGCGCAUGAACGCACACACGCACACCUACUAGUGUGGACUAAUGCACUUGGUCAAUGAGCUAAAAGAACUGUAUGUAGAGUGAAUUUUAUUUGUGUCCGAUGUGUUCACAUGAAUGCUAAUCCAGCCAGAGAGCACUUUUUCACAGCAACCAAACAAAUCAUUUUCUUAAAGGUGCACUGUGUAGGAUGGUGACCAGAGUAGGCAACUAUGCUGCACAUUGAAACGGUGCUGCCUAUUACCAACUUUGUCCUUUUCAUGAAUAUUUACUUAGUAAUAAACGAAAAUGUGUUAGUAUGACCAAGGUUCAGUAAGUUUACUAAGAAACUUCAUUUCUAGAAAUUCAAAAUGACAGCCAGUGGAGAAGAUUCCUCUUUCCUCCUCCCCCUUUCAUGUAUGGAAAGAGCAAUUUCCCCAGUCAUAACGACAACUUUAAAGUUUGGUGGUGGUAAAUAUUCAUGAAAAAUGCAACAUUUGUGCAUGGGCAGCAUGAAAUCUCAAAAUAAACUACUGAAAAUAAUACACAGUGCACCUUUAAAGCGAAUUGGACUUUCUUUUUGUUCACAGACUCUGCUCGUUGUAUUUCCUGCUCGUUGAU